RNAcentral lists this ribosomal RNA (274 nucleotides) under uncultured bacterium. RNAcentral describes it as "partial 16S ribosomal RNA". It matches the Rfam family "Bacterial small subunit ribosomal RNA", at positions 523 to 796 of the family's 1533-position model. The record is from RNAcentral.
AUACGGAGGGUGCGAGCGUUAAUCGGAAUUACUGGGCGUAAAGCGUGCGUAGGCGGUUUGCUAAGUCAGAUGUGAAAGCCCCGGGCUUAACCUGGGAACUGCAUUUGAUACUGGCAGACUAGAGUAUGAUAGAGGGGGGUAGUAUUCCUGGUGUAGCGGUGAAAUGCGUAGAUAUCAGGAGGAAUACCAGUGGCGAAGGCGGCCCCCUGGAUCAAUACUGACGCUGAGGUACGGAAGCGUGGGGAGCGAACAGGAUUAGAAACCCCAGUAGUCC